GUCCUGCUCUCUUCUUCACCAGGGCGUCCAGUGCUGGAACUGUACUGGGACAUUUCUGUCACCAGGGUAGCUGAUGGCAUAAUGGAGGAAAUGAGCUUCUGAUGAGGAGCUGAAGGCUCAGGAGACUCAGGAGGUGCCUGACCCAGACUCUCCCCAGACCUGGAACUUUAAGAGAGCUGCCUACAGCAGAGUGACUCUGCAGGGAGAAGGGCUUGUCGGGUCUAGUUGAAAACAGAGUGUGCCAACCUGCUCCAGGGUCAGUGGUUCCCUGAAGAAUCUCCAUUCUGAGAAAGAAGGCCAAGCAGGGGUGACAGGCACCCUGGCUCACACCUGCAGACAGAUACUCAGCCCAAACUUGGAAGAUGCUAUGGAAUCAUUGUACCAAGGUCACAAUGAAAAGCUUCAGACAGUCAUUGCCAUGGCACAGCUAUGAGUGAAGGGAAUGGUGUAUUAACUAGAGCAGCGAUUCAUAGUCACCUGGGCAUCUUGUUGAGAGAGGCAGAUUUGCGUUCAGCAGGUUGGAAAGGUAAUCGGAGGCUUGACAUUUCCAUCGAAUUUUCAGGUUUAUCUAUUGAUGUGCCCCAGUGUUUUGCCUCUGUGUAUGUAUAUGCGCCCCAUGUGUGCCUGGUGUCUGAGGAGGUCAGAAAUGGGCACUGGA
Long non-coding RNA from Mesocricetus auratus (golden hamster), 658 nucleotides. RefSeq lists it as uncharacterized. The transcript has 3 exons. Lineage: Eukaryota; Metazoa; Chordata; Mammalia; Rodentia; Cricetidae. The record is from RefSeq and is a predicted model, not a curated record.